UAAGGCCAGAAGGAGCAAUCAGGGAGUGUGCUUUUUCUAACAUGUAGCAUGUUGGCCAAUACUGGGGAUUUCUGAAAGUAGACACAGAAAAAACCUGUGGCUGGAGCUGGAUGGGCAACGGCACGACUACAGUCUGCUGUCUGGUUUGGAYGGAGAUGGGAACGUAUAACACAGGCUCACAAAGUUUCAUCCGCUGAGAGAGAUCUCCGGAGAAGUYGCCUUAUCUUUUGGCUGCGGGCUCUGCUGCUGCUCUGCAAACACACAGCGCAGAAURCUGAUGUGCUGCCUCCCCUACACCUGCUGCGUCGGCCUUCAUUUGUACACCGGGCCAUUUCAUAGACCGGUAGGUUGUACUGGCUGUCCAAAAGGGCCCUUCUAGCUCCUGAACGCUCCAGGACCAGCAUAUCCGCAGUUACCGUGCCUGCCCCAGUCCUACCUACUGCUCUCAGCAGGGGAUUARCGCAAGAGCUUUGCGAGCCCCAUUCAGUCACAAUAUUUUC
This 500-nucleotide long non-coding RNA is filed under the name Dromaius novaehollandiae (emu). Its description in RNAcentral is "lncRNA (ENSDNVG00000016609.1)". Lineage: Eukaryota; Metazoa; Chordata; Aves; Casuariiformes; Dromaiidae. The record is from RNAcentral.